Molecule: transfer RNA, 69 nt
Rfam family: tRNA
About the family: Transfer RNA (tRNA) molecules are approximately 80 nucleotides in length. Their secondary structure includes four short double-helical elements and three loops (D, anti-codon, and T loops).
GUAGAUAUAGUUUAAAUAAAACAUUAGAUUGUGAAUCUAAUAAUAGAAGCUUACACCUCCUUAUUUACC